This 484-nucleotide ribosomal RNA is filed under the name uncultured bacterium. RNAcentral describes it as "partial 16S ribosomal RNA". It matches the Rfam family "Bacterial small subunit ribosomal RNA", at positions 30 to 507 of the family's 1533-position model. The record is from RNAcentral.
AUUGAACGCUGGCGGCAGGCCUAACACAUGCAAGUCCAGCGGAUGAAGGGAGCUUGCUCCUGGAUUCAGCGGCGGACGGGUGAGUAAUGCCUAGGAAUCUGCCUGGUAGUGGGGGAUAACGUCCGGAAACGGGCGCUAAUACCGCAUACGUCCUGAGGGAGAAAGUGGGGGAUCUUCGGACCUCACGCUAUCCGAUGAGCCUAGGUCGGAUUAGCUAGUUGGUGGGGUAAAGGCCUACCAAGGCGACGAUCCGUAACUAGACUGAGAGGAUGAUCAGUCACACUGGAACUGAGACACGGUCCAGACUCCUACGGGAGGCAGCAGGCGGUAAUAUUCAGCGUCGGGCGAAAGCCUGAUACAACCAUGCCGAGCGUGUGAAUAAGGUCUUUGAAUCGUAAAGCUCGUAGUGUGGGGAGGAAGAGCAGUAGGUUAAUAAAAUGCUGUGUUGACGUUACCAACAGAGUAAGGACCGGCAAAAUGUGUA